GACGAACGCUGUCGGCGUGCUUAACACAUGCAAGUCGAACGGAAAGGCCCUGCUUUUGUGGGGUGCUCGAGUGGCGAACGGGUGAGUAACACGUGAGUAACCUGCCCUUGACUUUGGGAUAACUUCAGGAAACUGGGGCUAAUACCGGAUAGGAGCUCCUGCUGCAUGGUGGGGGUUGGAAAGUUUCGGCGGUUGGGGAUGGACUCGCGGCUUAUCAGCUUGUUGGUGGGGUAGUGGCUUACCAAGGCUUUGACGGGUAGCCGGCCUGAGAGGGUGACCGGCCACAUUGGGACUGAGAUACGGCCCAGACUCCUACGGGAGGCAGCAGUGGGGAAUAUUGCACAAUGGGCGGAAGCCUGAUGCAGCAACGCCGCGUGCGGGAUGACGGCCUUCGGGUUGUAAACCGCUUUCGCCUGUGACGAAGCGUGAGUGACGGUAAUGGGUAAAGAAGCACCGGCUAACUACGUGCCAGCAGCCGCGGUGAUACGUAGGGCGCGAGCGUUGUCCGGAUUUAUUGGGCGUAAAGGGCUCGUAGGUGGUUGAUCGCGUCGGAAGUGUAAUCUUGGGGCUUAACCCUGAGCGUGCUUUCGAUACGGGUUGACUUGAGGAAGGUAGGGGAGAAUGGAAUUCCUGGUGGAGCGGUGGAAUGCGCAGAUAUCAGGAGGAACACCAGUGGCGAAGGCGGUUCUCUGGGCCUUUCCUGACGCUGAGGAGCGAAAGCGUGGGGAGCGAACAGGCUUAGAUACCCUGGUAGUCCACGCUGUAAACGGUGGGUACUAGGUGUGGGGUCCAUUCCACGGGUUCCGUGCCGUAGCUAACGCUUUAAGUACCCCGCCUGGGGAGUACGGCCGCAAGGCUAAAACUCAAAGGAAUUGACGGGGCCCCGCACAAGCGGCGGAGCAUGCGGAUUAAUUCGAUGCAACGCGUAGAACCUUACCUGGGUUUGACAUGGAUCGGGAGUGCUCAGAGAUGGGUGUGCCUCUUUUGGGGUCGGUUCACAGGUGGUGCAUGGCUGUCGUCAGCUCGUGUCGUGAGAUGUUGGGUUAAGUCCCGCAACGAGCGCAACCCUUGUUCACUGUUGCCAGCACGUUAUGGUGGGGACUCAGUGGAGACCGCCGGGGUCAACUCGGAGGAAGGUGGGGAUGACGUCAAGUCAUCAUGCCCCUUAUGUCCAGGGCUUCACGCAUGCUACAAUGGCUGGUACAGAGAGUGGCGAGCCUGUGAGGGUGAGCGAAUCUCGGAAAGCCGGUCUCAGUUCGGAUUGGGGUCUGCAACUCGACCUCAUGAAGUCGGAGUCGCUAGUAAUCGCAGAUCAGCAACGCUGCGGUGAAUACGUUCCCGGGGCU
This 1346-nucleotide ribosomal RNA is filed under the name uncultured bacterium. RNAcentral's name for it is "bacterial SSU rRNA". It matches the Rfam family "Bacterial small subunit ribosomal RNA", at positions 28 to 1381 of the family's 1533-position model. The record is from RNAcentral.